Molecule: ribosomal RNA, 468 nt
Filed under: uncultured bacterium
Lineage: Bacteria
Description: partial 16S ribosomal RNA
Rfam family: Bacterial small subunit ribosomal RNA
Source: RNAcentral
GACGAACGCUGGCGGCGUGCUUAACACAUGCAAGUCGAACGGAAAGGCCCUGCUUUUGUGGGGUGCUCGAGUGGCGAACGGGUGAGAAACACGUGAGUAACCUGCCCUUGACUGUGGGAUAACUUCAGGAAACUGGGGCUAAUACCGGAUAGGAGCUCCUGCUGGAUGGGGGGGGUUGGAAAGUUUCGGCGGUUGGGGAUGGACUGGCGGCUUGCUAGCUUGUUGGUGGGGUAGUGGCUUACGAAGGCUUUGGCGGGUAGCCGGCCUGGGAGGGGGGCCGGCCACAUUGGGCCUGAGAUACGCCCCAGACUCGUACGGGAGACAGCGGUGGGGAAUAUUGCCCAAUGGGCGGAAGCCUGAUGAGGCAACGCCGCGUGCGGGAUGACGGCCUUCGGUUUGUAAACCGCUUUCGCCUGUGACGAAGCGUUAGUGACGGUACUGGGUAAAGAAGCACCGGCUAACUACGUG